Molecule: ribosomal RNA, 784 nt
Filed under: Dietzia sp.
Lineage: Bacteria; Bacillati; Actinomycetota; Actinomycetes; Mycobacteriales; Dietziaceae
Description: bacterial SSU rRNA
Rfam family: Bacterial small subunit ribosomal RNA
Source: RNAcentral
CUCAGGACGAACGCUGGCGGCGUGCUUAACACAUGCAAGUCGAACGGUAAGGCCCCUUCGGGGGUACACGAGUGGCGAACGGGUGAGUAACACGUGGGUAAUCUGCCCUGCACUUCGGGAUAAGCCUGGGAAACCGGGUCUAAUACCGGAUAUGAGCUCCUGCCGCAUGGUGGGGGUUGGAAAGUUUUUCGGUGCAGGAUGAGUCCGCGGCCUAUCAGCUUGUUGGUGGGGUAAUGGCCUACCAAGGCGACGACGGGUAGCCGGCCUGAGAGGGUGAUCGGCCACACUGGGACUGAGACACGGCCCAGACUCCUACGGGAGGCAGCAGUGGGGAAUAUUGCACAAUGGGCGGAAGCCUGAUGCAGCGACGCCGCGUGGGGGAUGACGGUCUUCGGAUUGUAAACUCCUUUCAGUAGGGACGAAGCGAGAGUGACGGUACCUGCAGAAGAAGCACCGGCCAACUACGUGCCAGCAGCCGCGGUAAUACGUAGGGUGCAAGCGUUGUCCGGAAUUACUGGGCGUAAAGAGCUCGUAGGCGGUUUGUCACGUCGUCUGUGAAAUCCUCCAGCUCAACUGGGGGCGUGCAGGCGAUACGGGCAGACUUGAGUACUACAGGGGAGACUGGAAUUCCUGGUGUAGCGGUGAAAUGCGCAGAUAUCAGGAGGAACACCGGUGGCGAAGGCGGGUCUCUGGGUAGUAACUGACGCUGAGGAGCGAAAGCAUGGGGAGCAAACAGGAUUAGAUACCCUGGUAGUCCAUGCCGUAAACGGUGGGCGCUAGGUGU